Molecule: long non-coding RNA, 4569 nt
Organism: Cynoglossus semilaevis (tongue sole)
Lineage: Eukaryota; Metazoa; Chordata; Actinopteri; Pleuronectiformes; Cynoglossidae
Exons: 2
Source: RefSeq, a predicted model, not a curated record
UCACAGGAACAAGGCAUAAACUACAAGGCUUGGACCUUUCCAAGGCAUGAACCUCAAACAUGGCCCCAAACAGCACAACACAAACUGACCAAUGAUCCCACAAAAACAGAGAAAGGGAGAGGUAUGGGCACCAGGUGACACGAGUGAGACUGAUGACAGAGACACAGGUGGGUGUGAUGACACUAACAAACUUCCUUUGAACCUUCUCAUUUCAACAGCAAAUUCAUCUGUUUUCUCUCUACUAUCCAGACGGAACACAACACAUUUUCUUGUCAGUUUCCUGCACUUAUAUAUAUAAAAAAACCCCAGAUCAGUUAAUGCACAACCUUUUAUUUCUGACUUCCUUGUUUGUUUUUUUAUUGACAUUUUGGCCUUUGGUCUCCACACUGACAAGUUUCUUAGUGUUUAAAAUAUUAACUGAAUUUAUCACUCAGGUUGAUAAGUUUAAGUUUAACUUUAAGUUUAAGUUUAACAAUGAAAACCCGAGGCAUUUUAUGCUGAUACUGGAAAAGAAGAAUGUGCAAUACCUGACCUGAUUGGUGGAUUAUUUUCUUGUGCCUCUGUGUAAAGAAGACUCUGACUCUUCUCUGAACUCUUGUGAACUUGUAGUAAUUAAAUGCUCUGCUGACAAAGCUACACACUAAAUUUAGCAAAUAUUCACAUGGUUAAAAACAACAAGAGUGGAUACUGUUGUCAAUAUUAAUUUGCUUUCAUCAUCCAAAGAAGCAAUGCUGAUCUGGAUUAAGACUAGAAAUAAAAAGAUGUUGAUAAAUGCCUAAGCCGCCUUGGUAAAUUCCUUACCAGUGUUAACAAAGUUUUUUAUUAAUCGUUAUAAAAACAUGACAGAGACACAACAAUGUCUAACAUAACAAUGUUAAGACGUAGCCGCAGCAGUAAAUACAAGAUGCUGCCUCUACCUGCUGUCUCUGCCGAACCCGCAACAACAAUGACACUGCUGACAUUAAUGAUGUCAGCAACAUGUGGUGGAAACAAUUAUGUUGCAGUCGCUGCAUCCUCUGCUGCGUUGUGUUUCCAAGCAUGUGUUUUAACCAUGUGUCUUUUCUGCAAACGUGAUGCAAAACACAGGCCUGUUCCCAGAGUGAAGGUCAAGGAAAAAGUGGAAGCUCACGGGACCCGGGGGCCUGAUCAGACUUGUAAGCAUUUUGUCUGGAUCUCUGGAGGCUGCUCCAUGUGUGUGUGUUUGUAGAGCGUUCUUUAUGUGGUCUGAGAAAAGACAGUUUUGUCUUACUUAUUAUUCUAUUGUCAUUGAAUCUUAAGUAGAAAAGAAUCAGACUGUCAAGUUUAAUACAUUUAUUAAAUUGUGAAGAACAAUGAGAUUUAAAGUUUAACGCAUUGUACAUUUUUUUUCAUUGCGCUAAUACACUGUCGCAAGACUGAUUGAUUAUUAUUGUUGUGGUUUCGCAACUCUACAACCAUUCUACUAGCCACCAUUUAUAUGUGGAGUUUGAGGUCCACCAAUACUUAGAAGCUCUUAUUUAAAAUAUAAUACAAAAAGCAAAGAAUACUUGAUUAUACACACAGGUUAAGCCAGUUAAAAAGGUUGUGUGUUUGGAUAAAGGAUAAACUAAAUAGUGCAGCAAACAAACUAAGUAAACAACUAGCCUGGAGGGUAUGGACAAAACAGCUAAAAGAACAUUUAAGACAAUCAACCAUGGUCUGUUAGCUUAAUGCUAGCCAAAUAAUAAAUAUAGCAAAUGGAUCCAACAAGUGAACAGCAUAUCCUGCUAAAAAAUUACACCUAAGAAAGAUAUUGGUGCAUAAAAUACUCACAAUUAUAGCUUUAUCUUAUUCUACUUCAUUUUUGGUACAUUAUAUAUAUAAAUAUAUUCUCUUACAGUUAGCAUGUACCUCUAGCUUUUCUUUAAAUGGUAUUUGCAGUAAUAAAGUAUUCCUGACUCCUGUUAAUAUUACAAUAUCCAAGUGCCACGACUGACAGAAGGUCCAGACACUGAAGGAGGCAUGUAGUAACUUUAAUACUUUACUGGUGAGAAGGUUACUUCAUUAUAUGACACCAUACAUAAAACGUAACACUAAUCACCAACUGCCGCCAAGCAGUGACUGCUAACACUGGACACAUGCAUGUCUUACUGAGGACGAUGACGGCGGAGGAGACCUGUCUGAAGACGCCAGGAAAGCAGGAUCAGCCUGAUUCGACUUGGCCAUUAACUCCUGUCUGAGCAUUCCUCCUUGUUUUUGCUGGAUGUUGCCGAUUUCUCAGAGGAGGGCUGAAUAAUAUUAAUUUCAAAAAGCAGCAAAGAGAAAUGAGGAGAGAAGAGACCCAAAAGCAAGGAGAGAUUUAAAGGAAAAAAAAAGUGGGGAGGAUAUGAAGGCUGCUGCCACACUCAGCGCUUCUUCAAGUUAAAAAAGCCUGGUAGGCAAACGGUGAAAAGGAGGCCACAUUCCCAGGCUUCUGAAUAAAGCAAAGCACUUCCCUGCACACAUGGUUAGACAUAUGCGCCUCCUCUCACCGCCUUCACCCGCGCGUACACACCACACAUAUAAAUGUACACCAGGAAGGAGUGCGAUGCCUGUGUUUUGUUUCAGAUCAUUAGUAGAAGAAAGAAUGUUUGAAUCUGAUCCAGGCUCAUUUGAAAUCCAGCAGCUGAACAGAGGCGGAACAGUGGAUGGAUUGAAGCAAGGAGAGGGUUUUUUCCCCCCAAACGUUUUUAUGCUGCUGGUAUUUUUUUCAAGAAGACCUGAAUAAAUAAAUCAGUCAACAUGUUAUUAUGGAGGGUCCAGGAUCGUAGGUGGAAGCAUCAACAAAGACUACAAAAAGACUCAAAACAUUUAAAAGACCAGGACUUGAACUUACUAUUGCUGUCUCCCAACCCGCCUGAUACACAUGGUGCACUAUAUAGGGGGCACGCCUUUUUGAGUAGUGUCCGAAUGUUAAGUGAGUGAAGUUGUCCACUAAAAAGGGCACUCAACGUAUCCCACAAUGCACUGUGAAAUAUAGUGUAUAAUGUCCAUUCAAUGUACACUACUCAAUAUAUCCCAUCAUGCAUUGCAGUCGUGAUGACAAGGCGGAGAGACGAGCGGCGUCCGUCCAUCUGUUUUAAUUGUGCAACAGUAAUGACAUAAUUAACUGCGCGCCGAAGUAGUGUCCAAAACCGAUUUUCUUUUAACCAGUGAGUCCACUAUAUAGUGCGCUAUAUAAAAUCCCCUAUAGAGGGAGUAGGAAAUGAGUGAGUGAGUGUGGAAGACAGCCUGUAAGACACUACUAUCACAUGCAUACCUGAGAAACCUAGUGGUAAAGCUGAGCUAAGAAGCAGUAUGCAUUAUUACAGUAAUAGUAAUUCAAUUUUUCCACAGAUGCAUGGCUUCGCCAUAAACUAAACACCGCUUCUUUGGGAUUCUAGAAAACAGAACUUUCUAAGGACAUUAGCUGAAAAAGUCUCCCUAGAAGUGCGUGGCCAUCUGUGCGUCUUUGUGCUCCUUUAUUGAUGUGUUAUACAGGUGCAGGAACCAGAAGACUUUCCCACAAACCUCUACUGAGAGGACCCACACUGUGCCAUAAGGACUGGCACUAAACUCUACAUCAUCCAUGACACCAAUAAACACAAGCCCAGAACACAUGACAGGGUCACGAAGGUUGGGCCGUACUCAGAGCAGGGGAUCAGUCAAAUACUUGGCUAGUCUGCCGGUGCCAGUGUCGACGAGUGUAUUUAUCCAUGUGUUGUCCAUCAUAGUCAGCUGUAAACAGACACAGUGUGUGUCCUCCAAGUACAGGUCAUAGGUCAAGGCAAGACGUGCAACUCAUGUAUCUGAACUAUCUGCUGUGGUGAGUGUCACCUGUGGCCACAGACGUUGACACUGAGCAGACACUGCACUCCAUUAAAACGUUGUGUAUUUCUGUUCUCAGAAGUAUAAUCCUGCACCAUUAAACUUUUAGCCUGUCACUUAUCUCCCACAGCUGCUACUCCAUCCUUCCAUAUCCAUCUAAACCAGGGCUAAUCAAACACGCUCAGAAGAGAAGUCUUUUUGUAAUUUCUUUGGCACCAGGUUUGAUUGAGAAAUUUAAAUCCUUCACAAAACAGUCCAGAGUUAAGUCUUUUUCCUUGACUGCCACGUAACCAGAUAAUGGAACAGCAAAAACUCAUUCUCCUUCUCCUGAUCCUGUAACCUGAUCAAAACCUUUUUUGUGCACCUCCUAAAUCAUCAUGACAAAACCUUGAUAACAGUAGAACAUCAUUUAUAAUAAUAAUAACGUGACCUUCAUUGCUCACUCAUGGGAAUUCUUCUGAUAACAGCAGAUCUACUUCCCUCCUGUAUGUGGUUCCUCUGGGAAUCAAACCCAGGACUACCUGGUUUCUACUUCCAAGACAGGCGUGCUAACCGCUACAAUAUAGAACCAUCAUUUGCAAACUUCAACAUAUUACAGUAACAUUCUCACAUAACCUUAGAGAAAAAUAGUGCCACUCACUUCCUGUACCACCAUACACCUCUAGUGGCCAAUCAACUAUAUCUUUUUAAUAACUGCAUGAUUCUCGCUUUAUUCUGUAAUGUUAAACCCGAAGCAGUAAAAUACUCUUAACGAAGUAAAACAAA